RNAcentral lists this long non-coding RNA (272 nucleotides) under Elaeis guineensis (African oil palm). RNAcentral describes it as "long non-coding RNA (EGUI_LNC072468)". The record is from RNAcentral. Lineage: Eukaryota; Viridiplantae; Streptophyta; Magnoliopsida; Arecales; Arecaceae.
GUAGAAGCUCGUCUGGGAUCCAUCCACUGUAGGAGCUUGGCUGAAGUCUGCCUGAAAUAGAAGUUCAAAAGAAAUGUGUUUACAGUAGAUCCUCGAAUGGAAUUUGCUUACAGUAGAUAUCUGAGGUAGACCGCCCGCUGUAGGAGUUCGGAGUAGACCGCUCGUAGUAGAAGUUUGACUCUCGCAGGAGCUCGGUUGGAAUCUUGAAGGCGAUCGACCGUCGUAGAAACUUGGAUGGAGUCUGAUUACUGUAGAAAUCUCAUUAUCGGGGA